GUAAGUAUAGUUUACAUAAAACAUUAGAUUGUGAUUCUAAAAUUAAGAGCUUAAAACUCUUUACUUACC
Molecule: transfer RNA, 69 nt
Filed under: Hypogeophis rostratus
Lineage: Eukaryota; Metazoa; Chordata; Amphibia; Gymnophiona; Indotyphlidae
Description: tRNA-His
Rfam family: tRNA
About the family: Transfer RNA (tRNA) molecules are approximately 80 nucleotides in length.
Source: RNAcentral